Molecule: long non-coding RNA, 1305 nt
Organism: Herpailurus yagouaroundi (jaguarundi)
Lineage: Eukaryota; Metazoa; Chordata; Mammalia; Carnivora; Felidae
Exons: 2
Source: RefSeq, a predicted model, not a curated record
GUUAAUCUCUUACUGUGCCUAAUUUAUAAAUGAAACUUUAUCAUAGGUGUGUCUGCACAGGAAAAAACAUGGUAUACGUAGGGUUUAGGGCUACCCAUGGUUUCAGGCAUCCACCGGGGGUCUUCGAAUGCAUCCCCCACCAGAUACGGGGGACUCCUGAAUUAGAAAUGUGUGCAAAUACAAUAAUGGAAGCCAAUAACAGGUCCAGAGGCAGUAAGGAAGAGAUAGUGAACCCCUUCUUCUGCAGGGAUUCUGGAAGCCCUCCUGGGGAAGAAGGCAUCUCACCUAUAUCUAAAAGGCUACAGACCUGGGUUCCUCGCACACCCACACGAUCUCACACUCCCUACCUUUCAUCAUGUCCGGGCAGGUCUCCGGUCUUGGGCUGGAAUAUGUUCCCACGCUUCGACUCCGAGGCCAACCCUACUCAUCUUUCAAAACUUAACCAGGAGGUACCUCCUGAAAGGCAUCCCUAACUACCCAGCAUGAGGAAGGAACCCCUUCUCACUGCACGUGUGUCCUUAUCAGACACUUACCAAAUGACUCACGAGACUGGAAGUCAGCGUUUUGCCCUAUUUAUCUUUGAGCGAUGGGGCAGGACUGAACACCACACCCAGUACACGGCCCCCAAUAAAUGUCUUAAAAAAAACCAACAACAGCGCUAGGGUAUAGUGCUACAUCAGACCCAUAGCAGAGAUGGCUUCUGAUCGCAUAAAGAACACACAUAUGGGAAGAAGAAAACUAACUGUCCCUCUGCCCUGCAUCAUUAGAAAAGAGGCUUCCUCUGGGAACACACAGCUCCUCAGGCGGCAGCUUAGCACCCAGACAGGACCUUUGUGCUCAUUAAGAAUGAAGGCCUCCAGGCUCCAGCAGCUCUGAACAAUCAGAGCAGAGAGGCUGGAUUCCAGCGCCGACCCACUCAGCGGGGUGGCCUUGUGCCGGGGAGGUACUGCUCCAAGACAGCCCUGCUGACCCAUGGAUGGACAAGAUAUAUUUCCUCCCAAGGAGCUGACAGUCUGUGCAAUUCAACAAUCAAGGAAACCCGCAUAGUUGACCUGGAUAUAAAUGCCUGGACAUUCUACUAUCGUUGUUUCCAGGACAGGAACCCCCACCGUGUAUGAUGGAUGAGACCAGGAGAUGGUGAGGAUCCCAUCCAAGGAUAAGAUUCAAAGAUUAAAAAUCUCUAAAUUUCAUGUUCAUCCGAAUGCUUUGAACCUUAAUCUCCCCUUUGUGCUGUCGUGUCAGUAUUUUGCAUUUUGGAGGGCAAUUAUUUGAAGAGGGACAAUCAAUGCUCUUCUAUUUCACCUA